Molecule: ribosomal RNA, 386 nt
Filed under: Arion owenii
Lineage: Eukaryota; Metazoa; Mollusca; Gastropoda; Stylommatophora; Arionidae
Description: partial 16S ribosomal RNA
Rfam family: Bacterial large subunit ribosomal RNA
Source: RNAcentral
CCUGCCCAGUGAUUGAAUUUUUCAACGGCCGCAGUACUUUGACUGUGCUAAGGUAGCAAAAUCAAUAGGCCUUUAAUUGGGGUCGAGUAUGAAUGGCUUAUAUGGACAUAUACUGUCUCAUUUAUAAACUUAUAAUUUACUUUAUCAGGUGAAAAUACCUGUACCAAAAUAUUAGACGAGAAGACCCUUAGAGUUUUAAUUAACACUAUUUAUUAUUUUACCAUUUUUGUUGGGGCGACAAUUUAUUCAAUAAGAAAUAACAUAUACCAUAUGUACAUGACUCAUUUCAUGAAAAAGGAAUAUAACUACCUAAGGGAUAACAGCAUAAUUUUUUAUAAAGUUUGUGACCUCGAUGUUGGACUAGGGACUUUUUAGGGUAGUCCUCU